This 569-nucleotide ribosomal RNA is filed under the name uncultured bacterium. Its description in RNAcentral is "bacterial SSU rRNA". It matches the Rfam family "Bacterial small subunit ribosomal RNA", at positions 276 to 845 of the family's 1533-position model. The record is from RNAcentral.
ACGAUGGAUAGGGGUUCUGAGAGGAAGGUCCCCCACAUUGGAACUGAGACACGGUCCAAACUCCUACGGGAGGCAGCAGUGAGGAAUAUUGGUCAAUGGGCGAUGGCCUGAACCAGCCAAGUAGCGUGAAGGAUGACUGCCCUAUGGGUUGUAAACUUCUUUUAUAAAGGAAUAAAGUCGGGUAUGCAUACCCGUUUGCAUGUACUUUAUGAAUAAGGAUCGGCUAACUCCGUGCCAGCAGCCGCGGUAAUACGGAGGAUCCGAGCGUUAUCCGGAUUUAUUGGGUUUAAAGGGAGCGUAGAUGGAUGUUUAAGUCAGUUGUGAAAGUUUGCGGCUCAACCGUAAAAUUGCAGUUGAUACUGGAUGUCUUGAGUGCAGUUGAGGCAGGCGGAAUUCGUGGUGUAGCGGUGAAAUGCUUAGAUAUCACGAAGAACUCCGAUUGCGAAGGCAGCCUGCUAAGCUGCAACUGACAUUGAGGCUCGAAAGUGUGGGUAUCAAACAGGAUUAGAUACCCUGGUAGUCCACACGGUAAACGAUGAAUACUCGCUGUUUGCGAUAUACGGCAAGCG